CAUUUUCUUGAAAACCUUCACUCAAAAAAGAGAAAUGUUAAUUGAAACCGUAUUUAACAGUAUGUGAUUUAUAUACAUGUUUUCCAGGUUGGAGGUAAACCAAUGAAUUGUUAAAUGAAACCCUGUUUAAUACCGUCCUUAUUUAUUGGUUCCUAAAUCAUUACCGAUUCUCCUGCCUUCGUUAAUAACUAUGUUCCCCGAUCUAACACUAAGAAAAUUUUGAUUUAUCAACCUUUGCGAUUGGGGAUUUUCUCCUUCUGCCGUUCUUUUCCCAUUCCUCUGCCUCCGCAAAAUUAUUCAUUUUGUUGAAUUCAAUUUCGGUGAUUCAGAAAGACGUGAUGAAGUCUUCAAUUACAUUGCUAAGUAUGGGAAUCAGAGAAGAAGUAUAAUAUCUUCAAACGGAGACCUGAAAGUAAUAGAAUGGAAGGAUUUUGGAAUUUCUCUUCUGCUUUCGAAAAAAGCUGAAGAAAAUAAGGAUUAGCCUUCUUCAACAAAAGGUUGAAUGAGUUGGAAGUGAUGAAUCAAAUUUGGAGGCAAGAAAAUUGGUAAUGGGAUGUUGGAGCAGAGGAUGUGGGAAGUCAAAAAGAGCAUCUUAUUGUCUCAAUAAGACAUAUUGGUUGCUGAGGAGGUCUUUCUGUAUCUAGCAAUCAGUUGCAGGUUUAUUGGGUUUGCGUAGCAUGGCGAGUUAGAUGCAAGGAAAUAUUGUGAUUGGUCGCUUUAUGAGUCGUUAGGUUGUAUACGACUUACAGGGGUAGUACGUGCUUAGAGUAAUUUGUGGUAUCCUAUCAUUUUUUCAUAGACAAUAUAUCAAUAUUUUUUCUUUCUUCGGCACAAGUACAUUUUUCUUCCCAUCAUGUACAGUUCAUCUUCUCUGUUCACCGUGUCCAUGUAUAUCCCAUCUUCUCCAUUUAAUGUUUGCUUUGUUCAAAUUGAUUAUUUGUGUUCUGCAGAUAUACUUAACCACUAUAGAUACCUUGCUUAUGUAACUUAGGUUGCCAAUAAGUUACUCUACUUUCAUUACAUAGAGGCAUCACUUGACUGCAAAAGUUGGAUCCCAUGGACGAUGCGUGCCAAGUUACGCAAUAAGGAUGCAAUUAAGUUAAACCACUGUCUUAGCUCAAUUGGCAGAGCACAUGUUUUUAACCAUGUAGUUGUGGGUUCGACUCCCGUAGAUGACAAAGCAAUGAGCUUAUUAUAUUUGUGGACAGCCUUGCUCUGAAUGCAGCCACCACUGUCACUUCUUCAAAGAGGGUUGGAAGAGGCUUAGAGGGAGAAUGGACCGGUUCUUAGAAUGGAAAUUGAUUUGUUGCUACCCGGUGCCUUUGGUGCACCUAAAGGCUACAGAAACCUAAUCUCGCUUUGAACGUGCUGAUCAGCAGGUUCCUCUUAAAUUUGAGAUCUUAAGAAGGUGAAGGAAAAUUCCAGCUAAGAAUAAUUUAAGAAAAGAGAGGCAACCAUUUUCCUGCGGACUAAUGUGUGGAAGCAAAAUCAGUCUAUAUCAUGAGCUACUGGUUGACCCCAUGUCAAUCCAAAUGUCAACUAAUCCCAUCACUGUCGGAUCAAUGAAGUGCAUACCUGCAAUCUGAUGAUGGCUUAUGGGCUUUGGGGCAUUUGGAUGUGUAUGAAACUGCCAUUUUUUCGUGGAGAUCUAAGGAUGGUGUGCGGUACCAAUUUCAAACAAUGGUCACAGCAACCAUAGCUGUAAUUAUAGUCUACGAUUCUAGCUUUAGAAGCAGAUACAAUAUCAUUAACAUUCUGAGAAGUUCCGAUCCAUUUUACGCAUAACAUGCUAGAAGCUGUACUAGGAUAGAGAUUCAGAUUUUUAAAGUAAAAUAGUUAGAUAAAAAUCAAUUGUCGCGAAUAGUUUCCACAAGUUCAUGAUCUGUUCACAGCUAUUACAGUAAAAUAGCUGUAAUUAUAGUCUAUGAUCUGUUCACAGUACAAUAGUUUCCACAAGUUCAUCACUUGCAAAAAUGAAAGCCCACCACUUUUCCGAAACUAACACUACAGGCAUUUCUAUCCACUUUUCAAUUCAAGUUGCUGCUUAAGAGAUAUAUAGAUGAAGAUGUUUCCAGCAUUACUUUCUGAAAUGGUUUAAGAUCGAUUAGGCUUCUGCAAUAAGAAUUGGACCGUGUUGGAAUGUCAUUCUUUAGCAUUCUUUUAUUAGCUAUAGGAUUUGUGGAAGGUUCAAAUUUAAGUUUUUGUUAGUCGGUGUGUGCAUGAUUGGUUGACUUGGAUAUCUAUAACGUUCUUUUGUGUUUUACAGGUUCCAGGACUACUACACAUUUCCUGCCGGCGUAGCACGUAUAUAUGUACCCAUCCCGUCAUGAAUCUAGAUUUCAGUCAUCAUUCCCUUAUAACAACAAAAAAAAAUCAUCCAGAUGAGAAGAAUAGAUGAUCCUACUGUGAGAAUUUUUAAGGUCGAUUUAACAACGAGAUUCUUUUAGCCGAUCUCAAUUUGUUUGACCAGCUAGGAACCCAGGUUAAUAAUCGUCACUGCAUAUUAAGUCAUUUACAGUUUAGCUUAAUUUUAUGACUGAGAUGUAUCUAAUAUGUUUAACGCUUUUUUGAGUAAAACGGAAUUCUUAAGCAUGAAAUGAAUGUAGAAGUAAGAAGGUAUUCUAAGGCAUGUCAUAGUUCUUUCGAA
This is a long non-coding RNA of Papaver somniferum (opium poppy), 2647 nucleotides long. RefSeq lists it as uncharacterized. The transcript has 8 exons. The record is from RefSeq and is a predicted model, not a curated record. NCBI's taxonomy places the organism in Eukaryota, Viridiplantae, Streptophyta, Magnoliopsida, Ranunculales, Papaveraceae.